This is a small nucleolar RNA of Dendrobium catenatum, 107 nucleotides long. The record is from RefSeq and is a predicted model, not a curated record. Lineage: Eukaryota; Viridiplantae; Streptophyta; Magnoliopsida; Asparagales; Orchidaceae.
AGGGCAUGGUGAGGGCACUUUCUAAACAUCUCCUUGAAUCUCUCUCAACUCUCAUAAAUAGAUUCUCAUUCUAACAUAGUAAAAAAAGUAAUAUCAUUUCUAUGCUU